Long non-coding RNA from Gallus gallus (chicken), 8553 nucleotides. RefSeq lists it as uncharacterized. Lineage: Eukaryota; Metazoa; Chordata; Aves; Galliformes; Phasianidae. The record is from RefSeq and is a predicted model, not a curated record. The transcript is spliced from 3 exons.
UUUAAAGAAUCAGUCUUAUAUCUGCUGUAUGGUAAUAAAAUGCAAUGCAAUAUUGGUGGGUAUGUAGAAGCUCUACUGCAAUACCACCAACACCCAUCUCUGAUGUCAUGGGCCAGCAUAACAACAUAGAAGGCAUUACUUUCAGAGCAGCCCUCAUAUUUAAUCUCAACACAGCAGUGUCCCUGGAAGUCCCACUCUAAGCCCCACCCAAAGUGCAGGGCACAGACAGGGAUGCUUCAGGGAUGACCCCCUCCAAGCGCUGCAUGGUGCCUCCUUAAGGCUGGCUAUGUCCCAUGGUCCUUCUCAGCCCAGGCCACUCUAUGAUUCUGUGAUCACAAGACUGGCUUGGAUUCACCCUAAAACUCCCCAGCACAGAGCACAUAAGAACUGCUGUGGCACUGUGGAAUGAAGGGUGAAGAACAAGAUGGCACGAAACACAUCAAGAAGGAUGCUGGCAGUGAGAAACCAGAGACAUCUGCUGCACUCACAUAUGCCUCACUGACUGAAAUCAAGCAAAAGCUGACAGACCUCAUCAGCGCUGAUGGGUUUGUUUUGCUGGUACUGCUCAGCUGGUUGUUGGGGCAAGGGAUUUAGCUGCAAAGCAAGAAGAGUCCCCGCAGCAGCCUGCUUAUGAUGGUAUUAAUAUGCAUAUUAAUUGCCCUCACACUGCUUGAGUGACAGAGCUAUACAAAGCAGCACAGACUCACAAUGUUUAAAACACGCACUGAAAAUUUGCAGCUCAAAACCAUUAAGAAGCAAUAGCAUCUAUUUCAGAAGUCAUUUUAACUUUCUUAAGGUAUAGAACCAUUUCUUGUCCUACAACUUCUCCCACUGAGCUCUUUAUUUCUGUGAUUCCAGUACAGUAUAUCGCAAUUAUCGCCAAUCUUCUGCCAGUUACAGAAUCAUUAAGGUUGGAAAAGAUCACUAAGAUCACCUGGUCUAACUGUCAGUGAGCAGCCUUUCCAUAAUGAGGCAAAAAGGAGGAAGGAAAAUCUACAGAAAUUAAUUCAUCAAAUCAAAAAUGCCCACCUAACUGGAUUCUGAAUUCAUCUGUUAUUCUGUACAGCUUAAAUAAGUGCGAUGGUAAAACUGCAAGAGGGAAGAUGUGGAUACACAGCUCAUCAGGAUGACUGUGACCGACCAAUGGAAACACAUUGGCAGCACAUUUGUUGUCCUCCACACUACCACCUCCUUGACCAACCCCAGGAGCAGUUGCUAUCUCUUGUGGGCAAAUAAUCCGUGCUGUAGUUUUCAUAGGACAGAUUAAUGGUUAACACUGGACCAUAAGGUGAAGGAAAUGAAUUCUCCUUCAAGUCCUGCUGAAGAACUAAGUUCUGUUGGCUUCUCAUGUUCCCACUCAGGUGCUGAGUUCUGCUGAAGAAAAACAGUGCAAUGUGUGUGUUUGUAAGGAAAGGCCCAGCCACAGGAGCUGGAUGGCAAGGCAGUUCCCCGCAGACUCUGAAGCAAAUAACCAACAUCUCAUCUUUCUCAUUCGUAUACUGAGAUAACCCUGUUUCACAUGCAUGUGUUCAUUCAGACGGGGAUAUACUGAAAUUAUGCAAUAUAGUGAAUGAUAUUCUUAACUACAUCCAGCAAUCUUGGGCUUGGCCCAAUGCAUGCAGAUACAAAUACUCUAACAACCAGACAGAUAAACAUCCCGCUCUAAUUGCUGGCAGAGUCUUGCUGCUUUGGCACAGGCCUGAGCCACAAUGCACUUUAGAUACCUCCCUUUACAAACUGUAAGUAACAAGGGCUAAAAACUCACCACCAAUUCUUGUAAGGACACAAAAAGAAUACUACAAAGUAUCAGUAUUUGAGACACAGGGAUAUACCUCAAAAAAAAAAAAAAAAAAAAAAAAAGUGACCAGUGAAGGCAUCUAUCACAUCAUUAAGGUUGCUUUGGAAAGUUACUUUUUAAAGUUAUCAUUUACUGACUUAUCAUAACCCCAAAAUGAAGUAGGCUUUACCAUGUUCUUGAAUGCAAAUUACUUGAAUGCAGAUCUGUUGCUGUUUCUUCUCCCUUUGCAUCAUUUUUGACAAAGAACUCCAAGAAGGCUCAAAGUCAAAUAAUUAUAAUUAUUUGCUUUUCUUUUGCCUCACUUUGUCCCCCCUCAUUAUUCCCAAAACUUGUGUUCCAUGGCCAUUUUCAGCUCCAGUCUUUCAAAGAACUUUGGUUCAUUCUUGGCUUUAAGCAUACCAAGUUAUCUCAUUCAGUUAGCAUACAGAUAGCCUUCGCUUUGGUUUCCACUCAAAUUAAUGGUUCCCUCAGGAUCCUGUCUGAUAAUUUUAAUGCAUGUUGAAAGCUGACAGACAAACAAAUUUCUACAAACAGUUUAUUUUUUAAAAGCCACUGACUUUACUACUUCUGACAAUGGAACGGAUAAGCUCCCAGCGUUGUACUGAAGGACUGCUGCCUAUUUACAAUAGGUUAUAUUAAAAAUUGCUCUAAAAAUUACAUCUAGGAAGCAGAUACCAGUAAAAAGGAAAACCAGGAUGCAUCAUUUCCCGGAGCUAAUAUAAACAAUAGACCAAUUGCCACCUCCCUGCUGUAGUUACAAACAUGUAAUUUGCACUUAAGUAAGCUGUAUUACUCCACAUUCACAUUGAUGUAAGAGAAAGAUGAUGCAAACUCACGAGUCUACAUAAAAACGUGGCUUCUCUGUAACUUUCUGAAAUACAUAGAGUAUAUUUACUCUUCACAAAGAAAGUUGGAUACUUACAUAUGGGCAUCUCAAAACCAGAUACUACAUUUUGCAAAAUAUCUUUUGAACUGCGAUGAAAGUUUAACUUCUGAAAGUUUUACUUUAACUCUUAGUUUAACCAUCUAACCAGAUCUGCUACAAGUGAAAUAAACAAAUCAAACUUCGUUAACAAAGCCACUUCAGGAAUCCUCUGUACGUUCUUUUGGCCCCUCAACUUGUGCUCUACAGGCAAAUAUUUCAUCAGGACAGUUGGUAAUAAAAAUAAAUAAUUAUAGCGCUGACUUAAGCCUGAAACUUUGUGAUGUAGAUACAUUUGAAUAAAACACACCUAACUAAGAAUUCUGUUUUUUGCCCUUGGUAAAACAGGGAAGCUAGAGCAACAAAACUUCUGGUUUGGGUGUAUCGGUCUGGUGCAUAAAGUUUGGAGGGAUGAAUCUAGCUCAGAAAACUACAUAGAACUGGUUGAAGAUGGAGAAGAUCUGAAGGUGCCUCCUUUACAGGAUCCCAAUUGGAUCCUACAGUCUCUGUAGCAUUUUCUUCCCAAUUAUAAAUAAAACAGCAAAGAAUGAAGCACGAGUCAAACUGUGCUCCAGGAUGUAUGGAGUAGGAAUUUGCUCCUUGGUUCUCCAUUUGGAAAACAAUGCAUGUAGAGGUAAGUGGAAUUUCAUAUCAACCAUACUUCAUUGUUUCAAAUCCAUUACAGUUAUGCUGUGUAACAAACUAGUUCAUUCAACACUGGAUGUCAACUCUUUCACUAAUCAUUUUGCAGAAAAAAAAAAUCUACAUGUUAAGUUAAAAUUUAUAACUCUCAACAUUACAGGUGAAAACAGGAAGAAAUUGAAGACACAGUAAGAAGGUGUAUUUCAGAGGAAAAAAGAAAAAAUAUUUUAGGUAUUAUUUUGGCUAGGCAUGUGACAUCAGGGAGAAUUUGGUUAUUUCAGAAAAGAACAUUUGUAGCGAUGGUCCUUGCAAAGAACAUCCUUUUUGUAGUAGAUAACAUAAUUCUGUAUAAGUUGUUUCACAGGUUGAGAAAACACUUUACGUAAUACAAGGUAAUAGCGAGGCCUGUAAAAAUAAUUUUGAAGUGUAAUAUAAAGAGGUGUGCUGAAUACUCCAUUUUUAAGCACACAGAUGUAGGAACUUCUCUGAAGCCGUCAGACUGGGGAGCUUUAUUUCUUUUUCAUUUCUUUUUUCCAAAUUAAGCUGUGUAAGCAUUUCAAAAGGAGAAAUCAAUUCAUACCUGUAUAGUCAAGUAGGCACCUAACUGUUUCUAUAGGAUCAUUAGCUACGAUAGCUAGAUCCUUAGCAAUAUCUAUGAUAUACAAAAGAAUAAAUAACUGGAAUUCCUGCAUGACACCUGGGGAUGAUAUAAUGCUAUAAUUCACCAGGCAAAAGCUCAAAUGCAAAAAUACUGUCUUGUAAAUUAAACCUUAAGAAAAAAAAAAAGAAAAAAACAAAAGAAGAGAGGGAUCUGGUUCAUUUAAUCAUGAAGAUAACUGAACACAGUGGCAACUACAAUACUAACAUACAAAGGCGGUACAGGAAGGUCCUCAAAAAAAGGUGUUGUGCAUAAUGAAGGAAGACUCAUUUAUUUUACUUUAGUUAUGCCCAAAGAAUAAUUGAGGUUAUUUCUGUUGUCCAUUGAAAUAGUCCUGUGUCAAACUGUCUGUUCCACUGUAUUUAGCAGAGGGCAACCACUUCACAUUGGUAAAUUGAGUUUUGUUUGAAGAAUAGUUAAAAGUUAAUGUAUUUCAAAACUAAAAACAUGAAAAACAGAUAUGCUGCAUCUUCCUUCCCUUAUGUGCCCUUUUAAAAAAUGGACAUAUAAAAAAUACUGAGCCUGAUGGUGAGAAUAUCCUAAAAAUACUUACUGCUUUAUGUAAUAUUUCCUCUAUCACUUUUGCUGCCUUCUUUUUCCCAACUCUAUACCAAAAUCAGGAAUUCCUGCAGUUAAAAUGAAGCACUUUGUAGAGAUAAAUGGACAAAAAAAGGGAAGACGAGAAGCAGUGGAAGAUUUACGUUGACUGAAACUGUGAUAUCCUCUCUACCUGUACCACAGUAACAGUGUUAUUGCGUAGAAUGUAUGCAAUACAUGAUGUACAUGUACAGUAUUAAUUCCUCAAAAAUAGCCAAAUAAAUCAGGCUUUAGUAACUUUUUUCCAUAAUCUUUAUUUCUCUAUUAUUCACUGCAGGAGUUCUGUGCAAAACAAACUGAAGUUAAAACCUUCACAUGCAGGCUCAGAAGAUGAGAAGGUAAAACUAGCAUUCUUAACAACUUAAGCCAAAAAAAGCAUUGGAAGUUAUAUUAUAGUUAUCUGGCAUGCAGCUCUCACUUUACUACUGCAUUCUUCAACUAAGUGAAAUUAAAUGGAAAAAAAACAUGCUUUCUAGAAAGGCAAGACCUAAGACACACAUUCAAUGCAGUUCAAGCCAAAACCUUCAGGCUCUCAUGAAACUCCACAUGGACACAUAAGAGGAAGAUCACUGAUAUAUGGUAUAAUUCAAUGGAACAUGCAUUAAAACUUUUCUGAAAGUAGUUGCCUCUUAAUUGCAACAGUGCUGAGAGAGAACUGCUGGGGAGAAAAAGCAUCCGCUGUUCAAAAGGAAGAAUAUUCAGAAGUGUUGCUGUCACUUGAUUGUUAACUCAAGGAAAAUUUUCAACCAACCAUAAUGCAAUACAAUUAGUCAAAUCUGACUGUGAAGGGAGUUAUUACCUCAGAGCGUAUAUGCUGGAGAGACUACAUGUAGUGACAGAAACACUCUCAUAGUCACUGCUGGAGAUGGAGCUGAGGGGGGAAUCACGUAAGCCAUCCUGAGAACUGAAAAAACAUAUGGAAACAAAAUGAACUGCUGAAGAGAACAAAGGUAAAAAACAGAGCAGUGUGGUAACAUGUGGGUUGUCAUUGAUUAUACAGAAUUAAGAGUAAAUUGACAAGUGUAUUUUUGUUCCUCUGUGUUAUCUACUUUGGCUUCUUCCCAAAGGGACAGGCAAUUUGGCAAAGCUGGUGAGCACACAUCUUAUAAAACUCCUCAGUUUAAUUUAUGACAUACAGUUAAAUCACUCAGGAAAGAACCAAGGAUUUUGCAUUUUCACAGGUUGUAGACAGAACAGUGAGCCCGCACUGUUUUCAUCUUAUCACAAAGGCAUAGCAUCACUGGAGGUCCAUAACGUCACUGUAUACUUCACGGCAAGAUCAUCAUCAAUAAGAUCCAAGAACUUCUGAAACACCACAAGUUUGAUCGAGUUUUCCACAGAAUGAGAAUGGGACGGAAAAAGUCCAUGAGAAAACAGACAGCUGACUCUUAGUAAAGGAGAUGGGGACUUGCUAUGCAUUCAUCUCUAACUUGUGGCUCCACAUCAACCAGAUGAGCAUGAAGUAGAAGUCCCAUGACAAACCAUGGAAACUUCAUUAAAGGAAAUCCACUAGCUACUAAAUCAGAGAACACGAAUAACUUAAGUUAGUGGUAUACAACUUGCUUCUGUCGUCUCGGGACUAAAAAAAGCCUUUAAAUGGUACGUUGCUUCAGAUCUCAUUGACAUUAUCAACAAUUAUCAACAAGAUCGUUGAUAUUAUCAACACAAACUGGGAUUAGGAGGUUAAAAGUAGUUUCAUAACUGGUCUUGGAAAGACCAAUUUUUUUUUGUUUCAAUAACUAUUUAGUGCUCAGCUACUGAAAACUGCACCAAGCAGAGGAAAAUUAAAUUACAUGAUAAGAAAAUAUGUAAUCUUGAGCAAACGUAUCAAAGCUGUAUCAGCUCUAGGCAGUGCAGGAGAAUCAGUCAAGGCUGCUGAACUCAAAAAUUCAGUCAACAGAAAUAUUUGGAAAAUGCAGAGAGAAACGUAAGAAAUAUCUGUAGUUAAAAGAAAGAAUCAAAUAGAUCACAGUUCUUUUACCUCGCUCCUCCUCCACAACUAUCAGAUUUCUUGGGCUUGACUGAACUGUAGGAGCAUGUGGGCUACAUGUUCAAACAGCUGUUUUCCAAAUUCUUUUCUUCUACCAAAUUUACUAUUAUAGCCGUUUUUGCAGCUAAAAGUCUGGAAGAAUGCUUAAAAGGAACUCUUCAAAGGAGCGUACAGAAGGUAUGUGCUCUAAUCCCUCUAUGGAAUAAUAAGAUUUGUUUGCAUGCUUCCCACUAAUCACUUGCAAAACGGACCCCUUCAUGUACUUCAUUUCUGAUUGCCAGUUUGAAAACGAAUUCCAAGCGUAAAUGGUUUGGUUAAAAGGAGGACUGUUGCAAUUGGAAAAUAAUUUAUCAGACUUUAACAAAAAUCGUUUUAACUGUCAUUCAUUUUAUAUCAUUUCCCUUUCUAAUUCUGCUCAUUAUGAAGAGAUGCAUACAUUUAAAUAAAGGCUUCCACUUUUAUACCUCAUCACCUCAGGCAUCCAAUCUUACAAUAUGGUCACACCACUAGAAUGUACUUUUGCUAUCUGUUUUAUGGCAGCAAAGGAUGUUAAAAAAAAAAAACAACCCACAUCAGAAUGCAAUUUCACAGCAUGAUUGAGCAGGAGAAGCUGUCUUGCAAAGAUGAAAUGUAUCAUUCAGAAUAAAGUAAUCUUUAAACAACAACACCAGAAAACGACUAGCAAACUCAGCAUCUCCUUUUGUUCUCUCACCUCCCCAUCAUUUCCAGUUUUUUGUAGUCCAGCAAUCCUCCCUGCUGAAUGGAGCAGGAACACUUCUGAGAAAGGUAAGGUUUGUUAUUUAUCUUUGAGUGCUUUCUGUUAAGCUCUUCCUGAUACGUUUCAAAUCCAGUGCAAAUACCUGUUACCAACAGUACCCAAAACAAAAUCGUGAGAUGAAUUAAGAGCCCAAAUUCCAUUCGCUUUCAUAGGUUGUGAUUUUUCUUAUUUAUUUUUUUUAAGAAUUUGAAUUUUUCAGUUUUUAUUCAAAACCAACAGGCCAGCACUUCUGAUCUGUUUCUGCGAACUAAAUGCUUCAGGCUAAAAGAUAAGUAAAACAAACCAGCACCACCCCGAGUAUCAUCUCUCUGCUAAGAGAUUUCAGCAGCUCUGUGCCAGGAACAACAUCAGCUUCAAUCCUCAGCUGAUUUUUUGGAUAGGAUGGUCCAAUCCAGAAGGCAAAAUGAUGCAGAGGGCUGGAAUGCAAUGGACUGGGACCUGAUGGUGGGUAAGCAUGAGGAGGAACCUCAGAACUGAACGGCACAAGAACGGUUCACAUUGUCAACAAUCUUAACAAUUUUUUUCCCUCCAGUUCCACUACCCGUCUAUUUUUAAGUCUUAAAGCUGAUCGCCACUGCCUCAUAAAGCCCUGGUUUUCCUCUGCUUUCUCUCUCACUCGGUGUAGGAGCCUGGCCAGGUGGAGCCACCCGCCGAUCUCACCCACCUGUCAGCAACCACCUGGUAAUGCUGUUUGGAGAUGCGUUACACAAACCCGGCUCACACAGGAUGGCAUAAAACCACCAUCCAGACUCACCAAAAUAAAAUUAUUCAGCUGAUAAAGACAGAAUAAAGAUCUGAGGCAACAGACCAAAGGGCCAUGGGGUGAUGCGGUCAUCUCUUCUCAUGGACUGCCAUCAGGCCAAACCACUUACAGCUGAUCUUUGGUAUUUUUUGCAACUGUGGUAAGCUUAAAAAAAAAAGAAUAAAGCAAAGCCACUUUUGUCCUGCUUUAUGUGCUGUUUUCUAUUGGAAUGUGUUUCCAGACUCCUAGAAGUUCAAUUAAAUCUCACGUCAUCUCACUGAAUGCCUUCCUCGUGCACCUUAUUACUCAAGCUACAAUUAUAUUCCACAUUACAUUAGUUAAUUAGCACUUCUCUUCCUGGUCUGUCUCACACUGCAUGAGAGCUAACCCUAACACCUCGUGUCAGCAAUACCAACCCCACUCAGA